RNAcentral lists this ribosomal RNA (447 nucleotides) under uncultured bacterium. Its description in RNAcentral is "partial 16S ribosomal RNA". It matches the Rfam family "Bacterial small subunit ribosomal RNA", at positions 29 to 523 of the family's 1533-position model. The record is from RNAcentral.
AGCGAACGCUGGCGGCAGGCCUAACACAUGCAAGUCGAGCGCCCCGCAAGGGGAGCGGCAGACGGGAGAGUAACACGUGGGAACGUACCCUUCAGUUCGGAACAACCCAGGGAAACUUGGGCUAAUACCGGAUACGUCCGAAAGGAGAAAGAUUUAUCACUGAAGGAUCGGCCCGCGUCUGAUUAGCUAGUUGGUGGGGUAACGGCCCACCAAGGCGACGAUCAGUAGCUGGUCUGAGAGGAUGAUCAGCCUCACUGGGACUGAGACACGGCCCAGACUCCUACGGGAGGCAGCAGUGGGGAAUAUUGGACAAUGGGCGCAAGCCUGAUCCAGCCAUGCCGCGUGGAUGAUGAAGGCCCUAGGGUUGUAAAGUCCUUUCGGCGGGGAAGAUAAUGACGGUACCCGCAGAAGAAGCCCCGGCUAACUUCGUGCCAGCCGCCGCCGUAA